UACGGAAGGGGCAAGCGUUGUUCGGAAUUACUGGGCGUAAAGGGCGCGUAGGCGGCCUUCUAAGUCGAACGUGAAAUCCCCGGGCUCAACCCGGGAACUGCGUCCGAUACUGGAAGGCUUGAAUCCGGGAGAGGGAUGCGGAAUUCCAGGUGUAGCGGUGAAAUGCGUAGAUAUCUGGAGGAACACCGGUGGCGAAGGCGGCAUCCUGGACCGGCAUUGACGCUGAGGCGCGAAAGCCAGGGGAGCAAACGGG
Molecule: ribosomal RNA, 253 nt
Filed under: uncultured bacterium
Lineage: Bacteria
Description: partial 16S ribosomal RNA
Rfam family: Bacterial small subunit ribosomal RNA
Source: RNAcentral